RNAcentral lists this ribosomal RNA (440 nucleotides) under uncultured bacterium. Its description in RNAcentral is "partial 16S ribosomal RNA". It matches the Rfam family "Bacterial small subunit ribosomal RNA", at positions 338 to 795 of the family's 1533-position model. The record is from RNAcentral.
CCUACGGGAGGCAGCAGUGGGGAAUAUUGCACAAUGGGGGAAACCCUGAUGCAGCGACGCUGCGUGAGCGAUGAAGUAUUUCGGUAUGUAAAGCUCUAUCAGCAGGGAAGAAAAUGACGGUACCUGACUAAGAAGCCCCGGCUAACUACGUGCCAGCAGCCGCGGUAAUACGUAGGGGGCAAGCGUUAUCCGGAUUUACUGGGUGUAAAGGGAGCGUAGACGGUCCUGCAAGCCAGAUGUGAAAGCCCGGGGCCCAACCCCGGGACUGCUCUUGGUACUGCGUGGCUAGAGUGCAGGAGGGGCAGGCGGAAUUCCUGGUGUAGCGGUGAAAUGCGUAGAUAUCACGCAGAACCCCGAUUGCGAAGGCAGCAUACCGGUGCACAACUGACGCUCAGGCACGAAAGCGUGGGUAUCGAACAGGAUUAGAUACCCCAGUAGUC